This 329-nucleotide ribosomal RNA is filed under the name uncultured eukaryote. RNAcentral's name for it is "partial 18S ribosomal RNA". It matches the Rfam family "Eukaryotic small subunit ribosomal RNA", at positions 1470 to 1796 of the family's 1831-position model. The record is from RNAcentral.
CCCUUAGAUGUCCUGGGCCGCACGCGCGCUACACUGAGUGUCUGAGAUACGAGUCUGCCUGGUCCGGCAAGGUCUAGGUAAUCGCUAAAAGACACAUCAUGCUUGGGAUAGAUUAUUGCAAAUAUUAGUCUUGAACGAGGAAUUCCUAGUAAGCGCAAGUCAACAGCUUGCGUUGAUUACGUCCCUGCCCUUUGUACACACCGCCCGUCGCUACUACUGAUUGGAUGUUUAAGCGAGGUUCUCGAACUGCUAGCGACUUAGCUUCGGUGAGGUCGCAGUGUGGGAAGUGAACCUAGCUUUGGUGUCUAGAGGAAGUAAAAGUCGUAACA